RNAcentral lists this ribosomal RNA (468 nucleotides) under uncultured bacterium. RNAcentral's name for it is "partial 16S ribosomal RNA". It matches the Rfam family "Bacterial small subunit ribosomal RNA", at positions 28 to 507 of the family's 1533-position model. The record is from RNAcentral.
GACGAACGCUGGCGGCGUGCUUAACACAUGCAAGUCGAACGGAAAGGCCCUGCUUUUGUGGGGUGCUCGAGUGGCGAACGGGUGAGUAACACGUGAGUAACCUGCCCUUGACUUUGGGAUAACUUCAGGAAACUGGGGCUAAUACCGGAUAGGAGCUCCUGUCGCAUGGUGGGGGUUGGAAAGUUUAGACGGAUGGGGAUGGACUCGCGGCUUAUCAGCUUGUUGGUGGGGCAGUGGCUUACCAAGGCUUUGACGGGUAGCCGGCCUGAGAGGGUGAGCGGCCACAUAAGGAGUGAGAUACGGCGCCGACUCCUACGGGAGGCAGCAGUGGGGAAAAUUGCACAAUGGGCGGAAGCCUGAUGCAGCAACGCCGCGUGCGGGAUGACGGCCUUCGGGUUGUAAACCGCUUUCGCCUGUGACGAAGCGAGAGUGACGGUAAUGGGUAAAGAAGCACCGGCUAACUACGUG